UACGGAAGGGGCGAGCGUUGUUCGGAAUCAUUGGGCGUAAAGGGCGUGUAGGUGGUUCUGUAUGUCUGCCGUGAAAGCGUACGGCUCAACCGUAUUUAGUCGGUAGAAACUGCAGGACUUGAGGCUGGAGGGGCUGGUGGAAUUCCCCGUGUAGCGGUGAAAUGCGUAGAGAUGGGGGAGAACACUCGUGGCGAAGGCGGCCAGCUAGACCAGUUCUGACACUGAGGCGCGACAGCGUGGGGAGCAAACAGG
RNAcentral lists this ribosomal RNA (252 nucleotides) under uncultured bacterium. RNAcentral describes it as "partial 16S ribosomal RNA". It matches the Rfam family "Bacterial small subunit ribosomal RNA", at positions 524 to 776 of the family's 1533-position model. The record is from RNAcentral.